GAUUGUCUUGUGUGCUGAAGAACUUUUGAGUACGGGAGAAGACAAAUUGAAAGACGGGAGAAACACCAUAAUCGAUUGCAAGGAAAUUAAAGAUUAACACAAGCAAAGCUACAAAGGAAAUGCAUGUGGGGAUCAUGAGUAUUGGUUGCCCCGGGGCUGAGUGUGAAGAGGGUAAAGGCGAUGGAAAGAUAAACAAAACAGCACAGAGGAAAAAAAAAAAUAAAGACAUCAUAAACGGCUUCCACAGUGACAGCACCCGUACGAUGUGUUUUUGUAUUUGUACAAGAGUGAAAUGAAAUUGUUGUCUCCGAAUCCACUGGAAGGGGCUCAGAAUUGCCAGAAGUCUGGUGCGUGUUUCCUAUAUGUUCUUUCUGCCCGUUGUUGUUUGUUUGAUAUGUUUGAAUUUGAGGACGACCUGACGACGAUCUUACCCAGAGGCGAGA
RNAcentral lists this long non-coding RNA (443 nucleotides) under Fukomys damarensis (Damara mole-rat). RNAcentral's name for it is "lncRNA (ENSFDAG00000028006.1)". The record is from RNAcentral. Lineage: Eukaryota; Metazoa; Chordata; Mammalia; Rodentia; Bathyergidae.